AGAGUUUGAUCAUGGCUCAGAAUGAACGCUGGCGGCGUGCCUAACACAUGCAAGUCGAGCGAGAAAUCACACUUCGGUGUGAGAGUAGAGCGGCGCACGGGUGAGUAACGCGUGGAUAAUCUACCCAUGGAUUGGGGAUAACCCUGCGAAAGCGGGGCUAAUACCUGAUAGUCUGGUCAUUAUAUAGAUGAUCGGUAAAGGUGGCCUCUGAUACAAGCUGCUGUCCGUGGAUGAGUCCGCGUCUCAUUAGCUGGUUGGUGGGGUAAUGGCCUACCAAGGCGACGAUGAGUAGCUGGUCUGAGAGGAUGAUCAGCCACACUGGGACUGGAACACGGCCCAGACUCCUACGGGAGGCAGCAGUGGGGUAUAUUGGGCAAUGGGCGCAAGCCUGACCCAGCAACGCCGUGUGAGGGAAGAAGGUUUUCGGAUCGUAAACCUCUGUCAGAAGGGAAGAAGUGGCAGAUAUUUAAUAUAUAUUUGCUUUGACGGUACCUUCAGAGGAAGCACCGGCUAACUCCGUGCCAGCAGCCGCGGUAAUACGGAGGGUGCAAGCGUUAUUCGGAAUCACUGGGCGUAAAGCGCGCGUAGGUUGCGUGGGUAAGUCAGAUGUGAAAGCCCCCGGCUCAACCGGGGAACUGCAUUUGAAACUGCC
RNAcentral lists this ribosomal RNA (652 nucleotides) under uncultured bacterium. RNAcentral's name for it is "bacterial SSU rRNA". It matches the Rfam family "Bacterial small subunit ribosomal RNA", at positions 8 to 637 of the family's 1533-position model. The record is from RNAcentral.